This 433-nucleotide ribosomal RNA is filed under the name uncultured bacterium. Its description in RNAcentral is "partial 16S ribosomal RNA". It matches the Rfam family "Bacterial small subunit ribosomal RNA", at positions 29 to 507 of the family's 1533-position model. The record is from RNAcentral.
AACGAACGCUGGCGGCAUGCCUAACACAUGCAAGUCGAACGAGACCUUCGGGUCUAGUGGCGCCCGGGUGCGUAACGCGUGGGAACCUGCACUUAGGUUCGGAAUAACUCCCCGAAAGGGGUGCUAAUACCGGAUAAUGUCUUCGGACCAAAGAUUUAUCGCCUUUGGAUGGGCCCGCGUUGGAUUAGCUAGUUGGUAGGGUAAAAGCCUACCAAGGCGACGAUCCAUAGCUGGUCUGAGAGCAUGAUCAGCCACACUGGGACUGAGACACGGCCCAGACUCCUACGCGAGGCAGCAGAGGCGAAUAUAGGACAAUGGGCGAAAGCCUGAUCCAGCAAGGCCGCGUGAGUGAUGAAGUCCGUAGGGUUGUAAAGCGCUUUUAACCGGGAUGAUAAUGACAGUACCGGGAGAAUAAGCUCCGGCUAACUACGUG